Molecule: long non-coding RNA, 582 nt
Organism: Contarinia nasturtii (swede midge)
Lineage: Eukaryota; Metazoa; Arthropoda; Insecta; Diptera; Cecidomyiidae
Exons: 4
Source: RefSeq, a predicted model, not a curated record
AACCAUUCCCAGUGUAAGAACUAAAAUUGCUGCGCAUAAAUUUUCAUUUUACGUUGAAAGUGGAAUAAACAACCUAAUUGGAUUUUUAUCGGUUUUCCAAAAAAGUGUUUGGAACAACAAAUCGGACACAUCAAAUGACGAAGAAGAAGAUGGACACAUUUUUAGGUCUUACACAGGGAAUCGUUCACAAACCGACCAAACGACGUCGUAAUCCGGAAAAUAUGAAUACAAAGGAUUGUUUCUUAGUUUGACUCAACUACGAACCGGUCCGCAAUCGUGUUCUUCCCGGCAAAAAUUAAAUGAAUUUUCUCCCCGGACGUCUUCCGUAGUUUGCUCCGUCUACGAGUAAUUUACGUUGUAUGAAUUUCUUGAUUCACGGAACUGGAUAUCUUGAUUCACAUUUUAUACUUGAUUCACGCUUAUUUUACACUAUUGUAGACUGAUAUUGAUUUAUUAACUAAUAGUGAUUUAAUUUGUGUUUCAUUUCUUUUUUCCUGAUUGAUAGGUAAACCAGUACUAUUCCAUAGUGAGCAUAUUAAUGGCAUUUUUUCUCUUUUCACAGUGAUCAACGAUCUCAACACU